Molecule: transfer RNA, 58 nt
Filed under: Mylodon darwinii
Lineage: Eukaryota; Metazoa; Chordata; Mammalia; Pilosa; Mylodontidae
Description: tRNA-Ser
Source: RNAcentral
AAGACAGCUACACAAGACCUGCUAACUCUUGUCUCCACGUAUAAAAACGUGGCUCUCU